Molecule: non-coding RNA, 395 nt
Organism: Zonotrichia albicollis (white-throated sparrow)
Lineage: Eukaryota; Metazoa; Chordata; Aves; Passeriformes; Passerellidae
Source: RefSeq, a predicted model, not a curated record
GUUGUGCUGCCGACCGCUCCGCAGCCCGCGGUGCAGCUGGCACUGACACGAUGCUAAAAAGGAAGAGAUCUUCGGAUAAAUUCCCGUUGAUAUUGGCAGCUCUGAGAGGAGUCAACAGCAAGUAAUAAGGGCUGUUCAUGUGCAGAGCCAAGUCUGCUGUGGGACACCUUUCUUGGCUGGAAUCAAUGAAAGAAUCCAGCAGUCUCAUUGACUGAGCAAAUCAGGAGCCAGUUCACACAGGAGGCAGACAGAUGCAGGAAGGGCUUGGAGACUCCUGCCUGGCCAGCAUCACACACACAGAGCCAAGGGCCAGCUGCAGCAUGUGCUGCUCCCGUCCUGCAUGUGCUGCUCCUGUCCUGCAGUGGUUCUCUGGCAGCAGACACCAGGUAAGCACA